UUUGUUUUGGGCGCCAAAAUGAAGACUCAGCAGCAGUCAGUCAGAAGAACUCUCUCAGACGGACACCACGUUAUUAAAGUAAGUUCUAUUAUUUAUUUAUGUUCACUUUAUACGUGAUACAUCUUCACUAGAUAGACAGUUUUUUUUACAAUAUGUAGCCAUUGCAAUGACUUGUAGUAAAAAUGAGUUUGGAGGAUGUUGGUGGAGUAAGUUAACGUUACAGUCAGUCAGUCAGUAACUUAAGUGUAAGGCUCAUAAAGAAAAACAGCGUUUUAAAAAUGUCAGCUGUAUAACGUUAUUUCACGUUUGGUAGUUUUAUCCGAGUUGAAAACUGUCAGAUUUGAGUUGACUUUUGAGGCACUUUUUACUCAGUUGUUCUAUGGAAACGGUUCAGGACAAAUAAAACGCUAACCAAACGUUAUUCUGUCCAGAGUAACGUUAUCCAUGUAAGUAAUUUACCAGAUGAUAUCAAUUGACAACAUUAAUAAUGACAUUGCGUAUGAAACAAACUGUCUGCUUAAUCAGAUGAACAGACCCGCGUCAGUUAUUCGUGACUUCACUACGCCACGAGCAACACUUGAUUCAAUUAGAAAAAGCUUUUUUUAAAUGCCUCACGUGACGUCUGGUAUAUUAACUGAAAAAAAUAUCGCUUUGAAGUGCCACACCUUAAAGCUGACGUUUUCGGAAGAGAACCUUGUUUUAAGAUCUCAUUUUGUCCAAAAUUGCGUCCUAUGACAGAUAUAAUACUUAUUUCAUUAUUGCUCUGUGUAUGUGUGACCUUAAUCAUUUGAGGUUGUGUGUUGAUUUCACCUCUGAAUAUUUCCUCUUAUAGGUCCAUCAUCCUUGCAUGCGCUACACACUCAAAAGCAUUGAUAAAUGCUGAAUUUAAAAGAAUCACUACUGUCUUAUGUUCCUGCGUGUCACCUGGACCUCCAAUCCAAAAACCUGACGAAACUCUUCUAUCAGAAAGGAGGACAGCUAGCAAAAAGACUUGGAACAAUCAAUGAUCAAAUGACAGAAGGCAUGAAUGAAGUCAGCAACAGUGUGGUCAUUUGAAGACACCACUGUUGGGAUUUGUGCUCUCAAACAACAUGCUUCUUGUGAUGAAGAAGAGGAUCUUUGUAUAGUCCUGGAAGGCAUGAAGGUGUUGCAACAUCGUGCCAUGUUGUUUGAGCUGAUGUAUGCCUUUAACCUGAACUAUCCUGAUCUCUGCUUUAUUUUUGAGGAAAUCCAAAAGAUUUUAAUGGAACUGCAUUGAGCGUAACUUUAACGAACAGUUUCUUUCAGUGAAAGGAUCAGAAAGACUGUGCUGCUUAUUUAUGUUCUUUUUAUUUAUCUGUUUUAAGUGUUUUUUCUUAUUAAAACAUUAACAGUUUGCUGCUCAGAGUUGAUUUUGGAAAUGGUUGUUGUAUUUUGUUUUUGUUGAAUCUUUGAUUAUCAGUUUAUACAAAUGCUGUAGCUCUGACUUUCUGAAGGAUUGAUAUAUUCCAGUUUGUAAAUCCAUUUAAAAAAUAAU
Molecule: long non-coding RNA, 1516 nt
Organism: Paramisgurnus dabryanus
Lineage: Eukaryota; Metazoa; Chordata; Actinopteri; Cypriniformes; Cobitidae
Source: RefSeq, a predicted model, not a curated record